UACGAGGGGGGCGAGCGUUGUUCGGAAUUAUUGGGCGUAAGGGGUGCGUAGGCGGCCUGACAAGUCUGAUGUGAAAUCCCUGGGGCUCAACCCAGGGCCUGCAUCGGAAACUGUCGGGCUUGAGUAUGGGAGAGGUGAGUGGAAUUUCCGGUGUAGCGGUGAAAUGCGUAGAUAUCGGAAGGAACACCUGUGGCGAAAGCGGCUCACUGGACCAUUACUGACGCUGAGGCACGAAAGCUAGGGGAGCAAACAGG
RNAcentral lists this ribosomal RNA (254 nucleotides) under uncultured bacterium. RNAcentral describes it as "partial 16S ribosomal RNA". It matches the Rfam family "Bacterial small subunit ribosomal RNA", at positions 524 to 776 of the family's 1533-position model. The record is from RNAcentral.